CUACUCCUACGGGGAGGCAGCAGUAGGGAAUCUUCCGCAAUGGACGAAAGUCUGACGGAGCAACGCCGCGUGAGUGAUGAAGGCUUUCGGGUCGUAAAACUCUGUUGUUAGGGAAGAACAAGUACGAGAGUAACUGCUCGUACCUUGACGGUACCUAACCAGAAAGCCACGGCUAACUACGUGCCAGCAGCCGCGGUAAUACGUAGGUGGCAAGCGUUAUCCGGAAUUAUUGGGCGUAAAGCGCGCGCAGGCGGUUUCUUAAGUCUGAUGUGAAAGCCCACGGCUCAACCGUGGAGGGUCAUUGGAAACUGGGGAACUUGAGUGCAGAAGAGAAAAGCGGAAUUCCACGUGUAGCGGUGAAAUGCGUAGAGAUGUGGAGGAACACCAGUGGCGAAGGCGGCUUUUUGGUCUGUAACUGACGCUGAGCGCGAAAUACUACCCAA
This 443-nucleotide ribosomal RNA is filed under the name Priestia sp. RNAcentral's name for it is "bacterial SSU rRNA". It matches the Rfam family "Bacterial small subunit ribosomal RNA", at positions 333 to 772 of the family's 1533-position model. Lineage: Bacteria; Bacillati; Bacillota; Bacilli; Caryophanales; Bacillaceae. The record is from RNAcentral.